AGAAUGGUUGGAAAUCAUUCGGAGAGUGUAAAGGCACAAGCGAGCUUGACUGCGAGACAGACAGGUCGAGCAGGGACGAAAGUCGGGCUUAGUGAUCCGGUGGUUCCGCAUGGAAGGGCCAUCGCUCAACGGAUAAAAGCUACCCUGGGGAUAACAGGCUUAUCUCCCCCAAGAGUCCACAUCGACGGGGAGGUUUGGCACCUCGAUGUCGGCUCAUCGCAUCCUGGGGCUGUAGUCGGUCCCAAGGGUUGGGCUGUUCGCCCAUUAAAGCGGUACGCGAGCUGGGUUCAGAACGUCGUGAGACAGUUCGGUCCCUAUCCGUCGCGGGCGUAGGAAAUUUGAGAGGACCUGUCCUUAGUACGAGAGGACCGGGAUGGACAUACCGCUGGUGUACCAGUUGUUCCGCCAGGAGCAUCGCUGGGUAGCUAUGUAUGGACGAGAUAAACGCUGAAAGCAUCUAAGUGUGAAACUCGCCUCGAGAUGAGAUUUCCCAUUCCCUUCGGGGAAGUAAGACCCCACAAAGAUGAUGUGGUAGAUAGGAUGGAAGUGGAAGUGCAGUGAUGCAUGGAGCGGACCAUUACUAAUCGGUCGAGGACUUAACCAAG
This 605-nucleotide ribosomal RNA is filed under the name Lactobacillus crispatus. RNAcentral describes it as "partial 23S ribosomal RNA". It matches the Rfam family "Bacterial large subunit ribosomal RNA", at positions 2324 to 2925 of the family's 2925-position model. The record is from RNAcentral. Lineage: Bacteria; Bacillati; Bacillota; Bacilli; Lactobacillales; Lactobacillaceae.